Molecule: RNA transcript, 9288 nt
Organism: Mya arenaria
Lineage: Eukaryota; Metazoa; Mollusca; Bivalvia; Myida; Myidae
Exons: 2
Source: RefSeq, a predicted model, not a curated record
GAAUCUAUAUCGAUUCGAUAGUGGCUUAAGGGAGGCAACUCUUUCAUGCUUAUCUCGAGUUCUUGAGGAGGUUGGAGAGUUGUUGUUCCUUAAUUUUCGGAGACAUUCGGACUUGUACGUCGUUUGUUUGUGUCUCGUUGUUUCCCCUUAGAAUGGAUGCGCUGUGAUUGAGCUCCAACAUUUUGGCAUUUUGUAUGGUCCCGCACACUCUGUAAGUACAGAUACUUUGCUAUAUGGUAGAUUAUGAUUUGGUUGUCAUGCAUCUGCUAAAGUUUUAAACCGUAAUUUAGUAGGAAGGUAAUGUUAUCAUUCAGAAUUUCUGCAUGCUGUUCCCGCCAUUCUAAAAAUAGACGAGUGGAGUUUCUUAGUGACGUCACUUCAUUGUUUUUAGAAUGGAAUGUUUGGAGUUUCCUAAGGUCGCCAAGUACAUGUUAUGUAGGACGAUGUUUUAUCAGUAACUUCGUUUUAAAUCGAUAAAAUAAGUAUUUUAAAUCGUUUCAAAGUAUUGGACACCGUAAUAAUGUGCGUAAUAAUGUGCUUGAGAUUAGAGUACAGAUAAUUUGAUAUUUCUUCGUACUUAUAAUGGGUAUGGAUUUCAGCUCCAAUUUAUUAAUGUUGCAAACAGUGUCAACCCAGAUCGGUCACAUGAUUAUGUCAUUCUGUGUUUGGAAUCACACUGUUUGAUAUUAAAGAUGAAUCUUACUGCUGCAUAAUGGUUUUAAUAUGUUCUUGUAUAUAUGAUGGUGUACGAUCUAGUCACAAGUUGUUUUGUUUAUUUGUAGUUUUUCACCGCACGCAACGUUAUACGUCUCAACACAUUGUAACCUAUCGAGAUGAAGAUAAUAAAAUGGUGACACUAGCUGUGGAUUGUUAUGUCAUUGAAAAUCCUAGUGACAGCAUAGUGAAAAAAGAGUCAUCUAGGGACAACAUAUGGACAGCUGGACCAGCAUCUACAUAGUUACCCACCAUAUCACGUUGAAUCAUGGCAGAUGAAGAAACUAGAAAACGAACAAUGACAGAUAAAGGUUUAGAACAUUACGAAGAAACGCGUUCAAAGUUUUAUAAAAAGGUGCAAACGUCCUAUGAUCGACUUUGUAGUACAUUGGAAGAGACUAAUGUGGAUCUGGAGAACCCAGAGGCGAAUAAAGUGUUGUUGGACAGACUCCAUAGUGCUCAUGCUACAUAUUUAACUGUAUCAUCAGAGUUUGCAGACUUUUUGUCGAGAAGUAUAACCGAGAGUAGUAAAGCCGAGCUUGAAGAAAUUGACAAACAGGUGAAGUUGAUAGGAGAUCGCGUAAGUGAAGCCGUGCAAAAGAUAAAUGACAUUAUAGGGACUUCAAAAGCCGCUGUUUCUAUUAGAUCAAAGUCAUCACAUGGUUCCAAGGAGUCUCAUGUGUCAUCUUCGUCUAGUUCUCGUGCUCGCGCAGAUACAGCUCGUAUUCGUUUAGAAUACGCUAAGAGAGAGGCCGAGCUGAUGAAGAAGAUGGCUCUAAUUGAAGAAGAACGUCUGUUAGCAGUUGCCAGAGCAUCGAGGGUAAAGCAAGAAGUUAGUGCAGACUUAAAUGUGCUGAAGGUAGAGGGUGAUGUUGCUGUAGCAGAAAUAGAAGCGUCAUACGCAGAAGAAGCUGAUGGUGUGUCAAGAAAUGCGGACUUUGACUUGACGUAUGAAGCUGCAAGUGAAAGGUCAAAAAACUAUAUAGAUAAUUUACCAGAAAUUCCUAGAGCUGGAGCAGCAGGCACACAGAGUAAACCUACAGUGUAUGCCUCUCGCGAUCCAGAUAGACACUUUGAAUGCGAUAAUGUGAGUCAUAACUCAGAGACAUACCUCAAAGAGAAUCAUUGUGAAGAAGAGCAAGCAAGAGUACGUGUACAUCAAGAAUCAGUUUUAAGGAAUUCCGAUGCUGACAUUUUAACAAGUUUCCUUUUGCGAAAAGACAUUAUGCCACAAAGAUUGAAAAAAUUCAACGAGAAACCACAAUCAUUCGGUGUGUGGAAAACUACGUUUAAAAGCGUCAUGAAAGAAUUGAAAGUUACCCCAACAGAAGAGAUUGACUUGUUGGUAAAUAACUUGGGUUCAGAAUCACAGAUAUGGGCAGAGAGCAUACAUUCAGCAAAUGCUUCCAAUCCAGAGCAUGGCUUAGAACUCAUCUGGGAAAGGUUAGACAACUGCUAUGGAUCCCCUGAGAAAGUUGAAGCUUCCCUGAAAUUGAGAAUUAGAAAGUUCCCCCAGUUGACUAACAAAGACAAUAAACGUCUGUAUGAACUGAGUGAUCUUUUGCUCGAAGUAUUUUCAGUUAAAAAGGACCCUCAAUUUGCCACACAGUUUGCUGCCUAUGACUCAUCCUCUGCUGUUAAUGAAAUUGUGUGCAAGCUGCCAUUUAAUAUGCAACAAAAGUGGAUCUCCCAUGCUGCAAGGUACAAAAAGGAACACAAAGUAACAUUUCCACCUUUUUCUGUAUUUGUAGAGUUUGUGCGUGACAAUAGCAAGAUCCGUAAUGACCCAGCAUUUCAGUGGGAACAUCAAGUGGUCGAAGCUUGCCCCAAACCUAAACAGAGACAGAGCUCUUCUAUAAACGCGCGUGUAGUCAAUCGUAAAACUGACAUCCACAUAGGCAGUGAAAUCAGUGACGACAAGAUGAAGAAUGAUCAGAUCACACGAUGUCCCAUUCACAGAUCUGGACACGGUUUGAAAGAGUGCAAAACCUUUGCGAACAUGACUUGGGAAGAAAGGCGAAAAUUGCUGAAAGAAAAAGGUAUAUGUUACAGGUGUAUUUCUUCAAGUGAUCAUGCUUCCACAAACUGUCCAGUUUCUGUCACCUGUGAAAUAUGCAUGAAGAAAAAUCAUCUUACUGCUAUGCAUCGAGAUAGAACUGAAUUUAAUGUGCGAAACUCGGCUGUACCUGCAUCUGACCAAAGCAAAGUGACAGUUUCUUCAAAAUGUACUUCUCUGUGUGGCCAAGGCUUUAGGGGCAGAUCCUGUGGCAAAAUCGUUCUGGUCGACGUAGCUUACAAAGGUCAUGAAAAUACAGAACGUGUAUACGCCAUUCUAGAUGAUCAAAGCAAUCGCUCAUUGAUAAGCCCUGAACUCUGCAACAAACUAAACGUUUCCGGUGAAUCAACAGAGUACACACUAUCCUCGUGUUCAGGUAGUAGCGUUAUGGCGGGGAGACGUGUUUCAGGCCUGACAGUGUCAUCUAAAGGUGCUCCAAAGGGUUCCAGAUUUGGAUUUGAACUACCCACAUUAAUCGAAUGUGAUGCCAUUCCACAAGAUACAUCAGAAAUCCCGACACCAGAAGUUGCACGUAGCUUUGCACAUCUGAAGAAGAUUGCCUCAUUCAUGCCGCCACUAGAACCUGACUGCGGUAUCGAGCUGCUAAUAGGCAGAGACUUGCUGGAAGUCCACCACGUAAUUGACCAGAUAAUAGGGCCCAAAGAUACGCCAUUUGCCUUACGCCUUCCCUUAGGCUGGGUUAUCGUUGGGGAAGUGUGUCUUGGCAGAGUACACCAGCCAGACUCUGUCAAUACAUACUUUACGAGCAUUUGCAAAGACGGGCGAGAGACCAUCUUCAGACCAUGCCCAUCUUACCUGACUGUGAAGGAACCAGAUUUCUCAGAUGAUGUGGUCUUCAGGAGACAACCCGAUGACAACAAAGUUGGCCUGUCCGCCGAAGACAGAAGUUUCCUCAGAAUUAUGAAUUCCGAGUUUGCAAUGGACAAAUCUGGACAGUGGACUGCACCAUUGCCCUUUAAGUCGCCUAGACCUAUGCUUCCAGACAACAAGGAGCAAGUGUUUAAACGUGCAGUAUCCUUGAAGAAGAGCCUGGAACAGAAUCCAGAGAAAUGCCAGCAGCUUGUCCAGUUCAUGCAGAAAAUCUUCGACAAUGGUGCGGCAGAAAAGGCUCCGACUCGGGAUGAAGAUGGUAAAGAGAACUGGUACCUGCCAUUAUUCGGGGUGUACCAUCCCAAGAAACCGGAUCAAAUAAGAGGUGUUUUUGAUUCCUCGGUUGCCUUCAGGGGUCAAUCUCUUAAUGAUCUAUUGCUCUCAGGACCAAAUUUGACCAACAAUCUACUUGGUGUUUUACUCCGUUUUCGCAGAGAUAAGUAUGCAGUAUCUGCCGACAUAGAGCAAAUGUUCUAUCGCUUCCUAGUGAAUAACGAACACAGAGACUUCCUGCGGUUCUUUUGGUUUCAAAACAACAACCCCGAGCUGCCAUUCACUGUUUUCCGCAUGAAAGUUCAUGUUUUCGGGAACAAACCUUCACCUGCAGUUGCCACCUAUGGAUUGCGCAAGGCUGUUGAGUCUGUCGACAAGGACAUACAACAGUUUGUUGCCAAAGAUUUCUAUGUGGAUGACGCAUUGACAUCUAAGCCAACACGAGAACAGGCCGUUAGCUUGUUGCAACGGACCAGAAAGGCUCUGCAAGAAAAUGGUCAAAUCCAUCUUCACAAAAUCGUCUCAAAUGAUGUUGACAUUAUGAACCAGUUUCCUAAGGUGGAGCUUAGCACAACCCUGAAAGACAUGGAUCUAGGCGAUACACUCCCUAUGCAGCAGAGUCUAGGGCUAACCUGGGACAUCAACUCAGAUAUGUUCUCAUUCACUGCUCCAAGUGUUGACAGACCAUUUACGAGGCGAGGACUUCUAUCAACCAUGAAUAGUAUUUUUGAUCCUAUUGGUUUUGCUGCACCUUUCACAAUUAGUGGGAAAAUCUUGCUUCGUGAGGCUUGUUCAGUUGGAAGUGCUUGGGACGACCCUUUGCCAGAAACAUUUCAUAAAGAGUGGGUUCAGUGGAAGAAAAAUCUUGAGAUGCUGAAUGGCUACAAGGUUUCUCGCAUGUAUAUACCAGACUCUCUAAGCUUGGCCAAAGACUAUCAAAUCCACGUCUACUCCGAUGCAUCUGAGAGUGCUAUAGCGGCCGCUGCCUAUGUCGUCGUUGAAUCCAGUGACCAACCACAAGUGGGCUUUAUCAUGGGAAAAGCCAAGCUGGCUCCUAAAACUGGACACACAAUACCUAGACUAGAAUUAUGUGCAGCCGUUUUGGCCACAGAAGUGGCAUCAUUUGUAUCGCAUCAAUUGGACAUUCCAUCAUCAUCAUUUCAGUUCUUCACAGAUAGCAUGGUGGUGUUGGGCUAUAUCGGGAAUAAGACCCGUAGAUUCUAUACAUAUGUGAGCAAUAGGGUUGCACAAAUCCAUGAAUUCUCUGAGCCUGAACAGUGGCAAUACAUUUCUACUGAAUAUAAUCCUGCAGAUUCAGCCACUAGGGCAUCUUCUGAGAAUAUCCAUACAGUGCUAGAGAAAUGGCAUAGUGGGCCGAAUUACCUUAUUGGAGAACAAAAAGAAAGAGAUGUGAAAGAGUUUCCUCUUCAGUGUCCUGAGGAAGAUUCAGAGGUUCGCCCAGAAGUUGUAGUAAAGGCGACAAAUGUAAAGAGUUCCAUGGAUCCAGUUGCUAAAGCCUGUGAGCGCUUCUCAUCUUGGAAGAAAUUGGUGUUAGCGUUUAGCUUGCUCAUUCAUAUUGCCAGGACGUUCUCAAAACGCAAUGACUGUAAGUGUUCUGGAUGGCAUGUGUGUGAGAAGAGAUCCUCUCCUGCUGUUCGAAUAGAUGCAGAGCAAUUUAUACUGUCUGAACUCCAGAAACGGCAUUAUGCUGAAGAAAUUUGUGCAUUGAAGGCCGGCAAGCCCAUUCCCAAGAAAAGCGCAAUAAUUUCCUUAUCCCCUUAUUUAGAUGAAAAUGGGAUACUCAGAGUCGGUGGCCGCCUUCGAAAGCUACGGAAAAGCCAGGGAAUUAAAGUUGUUAACCCUUUGAUCGUCCCAAAAGGUCAUGUAGCAACACUGUUAGUUCGACAUCAUCAUGAAAGGGUCCAACACCAGGGCCGACACCUCACGGAAGGUGCUGUCCGCAAUGCAGGUUUGUGGAUAAUCGGUGGCAAGCGUUUAAUUGGCAGUGUUUUACAUCACUGUGUAACUUGCCGAAAGCUUCGUGGAAAGACCGCUGAACAGAAAAUGGCCGAUUUGCCACAAGAUCGUCUUACUUCCUCACCGCCCUUCACACACGUUGGAGUGGAUGUGUUUGGCCCUUGGACCGUGGUGACAAGACGUACCAGAGGAGGUAGUGCAAAUUCAAAACGCUGGGCUGUGCUUUUCACAUGUUUGUAUAGUAGAGCUGUCCAUAUUGAGCUACUAGAGGAGAUGUCUACGUCCUGUUUCAUAAAUGCAAUGCGCAGAUUUAUUGCAAUUCGCGGAAAAGUGUCAGAAUUUCGGUCGGAUCGUGGCACAAAUUUUAUAGGAGCAGCCUCCGAGCUUGGUAUGAAAACGGUCUGUGUAGAAGAUGACCAAUUUCAGACCUACUUACAAGACAAUGAAAUAAUUUGGCGUUUCAAUCCGCCUUAUGCCUCCCAUUUUGGUGGCGUUUGGGAAAGAAUGAUCGGGAUUGCUCGUCACAUUCUAGAUGCAAUGCUACUAGACUUCAAACAAGGAAAACUUACUCAUGAAGUUCUCUCAACCUUAAUGGCAGAGGUUACCGCUAUCAUGAACUCCAGGCCUCUUGUCCCAGUUUCUACAGAUGUUGAAGAACCAUUUGUCCUAUCACCGGGAAUGCUACUUACACAGAAAUCUCCCGAGAUAGUUUGCAGUUUCCGCGACAUAGGUGUGAAAGAUAUGUACCACUCUCAGUGGAAGACAGUGCAGUUUCUGGCAAAUAUUUUCUGGAAACGUUGGAAGGGUGAUUUUCUGUCAUCUCUACAGACGAGGAAGAAGUGGGCGUCGCCUUGUGAAAACAUCAAAGCUGAUGAUGUAGUUCUAUUACGCGAUCGAGAUUGUGCGCGCAAUGAAUGGCCUAUGGGUCUUGUGACAAAGGCAUUUCCUAGUGACGACGGACUUGUUAGAAAGCUGCAAAUCAGGGUUAUGAAGAAUGGAAAGCAAUGCCUUUAUGUGAGACCAAUUAAAGAAGUUGUUUUGCUUGUGUCGUCGUAGAAAGCAGCAACAACAGAAGAAUGUUUCAGAAAUCUUAUUUAACUGAGGCAUAAAGAUUUUGUGUAAAAUAUGUUUUAUUCUUGAAAGUAUUUUGAAGUUGUUCCUUUCAAAGUCAGAACUUAAACAUAAGUUCCCGCUCAGAAGCCUUUAUGCACAAUCAAAUUUAUUUUGCUUUCUGCAUAAAUAUCUUCUUGCGAAAUUAGAAAACAUACCUUACAUGAAAAUUUUUAAUUUUCUGCUAUGUUAAUGAUUUGCUACACUAAAGUCUUUAUGCAACGUUCGCGCAAUAUCAGUGUUAAUAUGUGCAGAUGCCUUCGGGUAAUUCUCUGUGUGCCUAAUGAGUAUCUCCUCAAAGGAAAAUCAUCCAAAACAUUUUGCUCUCCGAACUGGUGUCCAAUCCGGAAAGACCUGCAAUGAGGGCCUUUCUAAUGAGACUUAUGUGAAACGGCAUUAAGAAAGGCAUAUGUUAACACAUGCUCGAGAGAAACUUUCAGCGACUCGAGACAGCAACUAUGCUUGUAUGAACUUUGAGAUAUUAAGUCAGUCUUUUAAUCAUAAAAAUAUUAGUCUUUGAUACAAUGUGUUAAUAUCUCUUCAGAUAUUGCAUUUGACUGUAUUUAUUCUUAAGUAUGCCAUUUUUUAUGUAGUCAUGGUAUAAGUUUGAAUAAUUACAGUAAACCUGUGUAUUCCAAGACUUACUUGGAAAGAUGCUUAAGAAAAUGGUUUAAGUCUUGUGGUUAUAUCCUUUGAUAUAAGACGGGGAGUGUUCUGGACCGAUUUCAGUUUAUCCUUCCUUUCAAUCUGUAAGCAAUUUUGGAAUCUAUAUCGAUUCGAUAGUGGCUUAAGGGAGGCAACUCUUUCAUGCUUAUCUCGAGUUCUUGAGGAGGUUGGAGAGUUGUUGUUCCUUAAUUUUCGGAGACAUUCGGACUUGUACGUCGUUUGUUUGUGUCUCGUUGUUUCCCCUUAGAAUGGAUGCGCUGUGAUUGAGCUCCAACAUUUUGGCAUUUUGUAUGGUCCCGCACACUCUUUUUUCACCGCACGCAACGUUAUACGUCUCAACACAUUGUAACCUAUCGAGAUGAAGAUAAUAAAAUGGUGACACUAGCUGUGGAUUGUUAUGUCAUUGAAAAUCCUAGUGACAGCAUAAGCUAUAUAUGUUGACACAAAAGAGCACACUGUUACUGUGAAUAAAGUCAUGAAGAUUGAAGUUGAACAAGAGAUGUUUGUCAAACAUUAUGCCCCCUGAGCGCCAAGUUGCCAGAAAUAUUUGGACAAUUGAAUGAAAUAUGCAUGGACUGAAAUGACAGCUGAUUUGUCAUUGGAUGCAUAUGAGGCAGGUCAUCUACUGGUCAUACCUAAUCUUCAUGUCAAGUUUGAUGACCAUAGGUCCGGGAAUUGUUGAGUUAUCACUCGGACAAGCUUUGGUCUUCCAACAGACCGACCGACAUGUGCAAAGCAAUUAUAUAACCCCUCUGCUUCGAAGGGGGGCAUAAUUAAACUAGAUGUUCACUGAAAACUGAUACUUCAACUCAUGCAUUUAGUGACAUAUAAAUUUCUACUGUCUACUAUAUAAGAAAAUAAAAUAUGGACAAUCAGAAAACCUUUUUUCAGCUUACAGUCACACUGACCUUGACCUUUGACCCACUGACCUCAAAAUCAAUAGGGUUCAUCUGCUGGUCAUGACCAAUAAGCCUACCUAGUAUGAGGUCCCUGGGUCAAAGCGUUCUCAAGUUAUUGAUCGGAAACCGUUUUUCAUGUUAAGGUCACACUGACCUUGACCUUUGACCUCAAAAUCAAUAGGGUUCAUCUGCUGGUCAUGACCAAUACACCUACCAAGUAUGAGGUUCCUGGGUCAAAGCGUUCUCAAGUUAUUGAUCGGAAACCGUUUUUCAUGUAAAGGUCACACUGACCUUGACCUUUGACCCACUGACCUCAAAAUCAAUAGGGUUCAUCUGCUGGUCAUGACCAAUAAGCCUACCUAGUAUGAGGUCCCUGGGUCAAAGCGUUCUCAAGUUAUUGAUCGGAAACCGUUUUUCAUGUUAAGGUCACACUGACCUUGACCUUUGACCCACUGACCUCAAAAUCAAUAGGGUUCAUCUGCUGGUCAUGACCAAUACACCUACCAAGUAUGAGGUUCCUGGGUCAAAGCGUUCUCAAGUUAUUGAUCGGAAACCGUUUUUCAUGUAAAGGUCACACUGACCUUGACCUUUGACCCACUGACCUCAAAAUCAAUAGGGUUCAUCUGCUGGUGAUGACCAAUACACAUACCAAGUAUGAGGUCCCUCGGUCAAAGCGUUCUCAAGUUAUUGAUCGGAAACCAU